AAGCCAGUGGUGAACUCCACAUCCGCAUCCUUUGCUGAGGAUACGGUUAACGGAGCGAAAGCGACGUUCAACCGCAAAACAAGCAGAGGGGGCUUAGUGGUGGGGUGACUGCGUACCUUUUGUAUAAUGGGUCAGCGACUUAUAUUCUGUAGCAAGGUUAACCGUAUAGGGGAGCCGGAGGGAAACCGAGUCUUAAUUGGGCGUUAAGUUGCAGGGUAUAGACCCGAAACCCGGUGAUCUAGCCAUGGGCAGGUUGAAGGUUGGGUAACACUAACUGGAGGACCGAACCGACUAAUGUUGAAAAAUUAGCGGAUGACCUGUGGCUGGGGGUGAAAGGCCAAUCAAACCGGGAGAUAGCUGGUUCUCCCCGAAAGCUAUUUAGGUAGCGCCUCGUGAAUUCAUCUCCGGGGGUAGAGCACUGUUUCGGCUAGGGGGCCAUCCCGGCUUACCAACCCGAUGCAAACUGCGAAUACCGGAGAAUGUUAUCACGGGAGACACACGGCGGGUGCUAACGUCCGUCGUGAAGAGGGAAACAACCCAGACCGCCAGCUAAGGUCCCAAAGUCAUGGUUAAGUGGGAAACGAUGUGGGAAGGCCCAGACAGCCAGGAUGUUGGCUUAGAAGCAGCCAUCAUUUAAAGAAAGCGUAAUAGCUCACUGGUCGAGUCGGCCUGCGCGGAAGAUGUAACGGGGCUAAACCAUGCACCGAAGCUGCGGCAGCGAACGUAUCACCCAAGACAACUUUACGGAGUUGACGAUUGACGGAGCGAAGCGACGUCAAAGCGUUCAUUAAAGUCGAGUUGGCUUAGGGAUACGUUCGUUGGGUAGGGGAGCGUUCUGUAAGCCUGUGAAGGUGUGUCGUGAGGCAUGCUGGAGGUAUCAGAAGUGCGAAUGCUGACAUAAGUAACGAUAAAGCGGGUGAAAAGCCCGCUCGCCGGAAGACCAAGGGUUCCUGUCCAACGUUAAUCGGGGCAGGGUGAGUCGACCCCUAAGGCGAGGCCGAAAGGCGUAGUCGAUGGGAAACGGGUUAAUAUUCCCGUACUUGGUGUUACUGCGAAGGGGGGACGGAGAAGGCUAUGUUGGCCGGGCGACGGUUGUCCCGGUUUAAGCGUGUAGGUGUGUGUUCCAGGUAAAUCCGGUUCACUUUAACACUGAGGCGUGACGACGAGGCACUAC
Molecule: ribosomal RNA, 1174 nt
Filed under: Salmonella enterica subsp. enterica serovar Typhimurium
Lineage: Bacteria; Pseudomonadati; Pseudomonadota; Gammaproteobacteria; Enterobacterales; Enterobacteriaceae
Description: partial 23S ribosomal RNA
Rfam family: Bacterial large subunit ribosomal RNA
Source: RNAcentral